Long non-coding RNA from Oncorhynchus tshawytscha (Chinook salmon), 1796 nucleotides. NCBI's taxonomy places the organism in Eukaryota, Metazoa, Chordata, Actinopteri, Salmoniformes, Salmonidae. The record is from Ensembl.
CGGCACUUCAACAACGGACCCUCGUGAAUGCGCUGUUUACUGUCAUCCAGGCAGCUGAACUACCAUGCUAGUUUUGUUGCUUGUCAUCAGCCCCAAAUCAAGCAUAUGAUGGCCUUCAUUGAACAGGAAGCCAAUGAGAAAGCAGAAGAAAUUGACGCAAAGACAGAAGUGGAGUUUAACAUUGAAGAGGGCUGUCUGGACCUCAAGAUCAUGGCGUAUUAUGAGAAAAAAUAAAAUUCAGAUCGACCAGCAGAAGAACAUGAACUAAGAUGUACAACGAUAAUGGGAAGAUCAAGGUAGCCAACACCCUGGAGAGCAGGCCUGACCUCUUGCCUCAGCAGAUGAUGCCUGAGGUUAGAGUGGCUCUUUUCUGUGCCAACCUGAACCGUACAUUUUUAGGAUUAACAGGUGAUGCUGAGGGAGACAAAGGUUAAGGUAUCAUUGGAUGUGCUACUGGGAACAAGCCUCUUAUUUGGACUGGAUAUGUGGAAAGUUGAGCAGAGCCUAAGAACACCCGGUCUCUGUGACGCCCAGAAUGUUUGUUUUCUGAGGGAAUGGUUAAACAUGGAAAAGAACACCAUGGUCAUCUUCAUCUUCCCAACUUCAAGCACUUAUCUCUAGGAUCUUCCAAAGUAAGAAACUUGUUUAUGGGACACGAUGUGAGGGAGAAUGUGUGUUAAGGGUAGUGUUUUAUCCUACCUCCUCAGUUUACCACUGCUCCCUUCCCAGCACUGUGGGUUAUCUGAUUGUAAUCUACACUGCAAAACAUAUAUGAAUGCAACAAUUCCCAAAAUUUGACUUAGGUACAGUUCAUAUAAGGAAAUCAGUCAAUUGAAAUAAAUUCAUUAGGCACUAAUUUAUAGAUUUCACAUGACCGGACAUGGGUGCAGCCAUGGGUAGGCCUUGGAGGGCAUAGACCCAACCAAUUGGCAGCCAGGCCCACCCACUAGGGAGCCAGGCCCAGCCAAUCAUAAUGAGUUUUUCCCCACAAAAUGGCUUUAAUACAGACACAUACUCCUCAGCCCCCCAGCCGAUCCCGCAGGUGAAUAAGCUGGAUGUGGAGGUCCUGAGCUGACGUGGUUACAGGUGAUCUGCAGUAGUGAGGCCGGUUGGACGCACUGCCAAAUUCUCUAAAACUACAUUGUAUGCAGCUAAUGGUAGAAAAAUUAACAAAUUCUCUGGCAACAGCUCUGGUGGAUAUUCCUCCAGUCAGCAUGCUAAUUGUACGUUCCUGAAAAACUUGAAACAUCUAUGGCAUUGUGUUGUGUGACAACUGCACAUUUUAAAGUGGCCUUUUACUGUCCCCAGCACAAGGUGCACCUGUGUAAUCAUGUUUAAUCAGCUUCUUGACAUGCCACAACUGUCAGGUGGAAGGAUUAGCUUGAGCAAAUGAAAAAUGCUCACUAAUAGGGAUAAACAAAUUUGUGCACAAUUUGAGAGAAAUAAAAACUUUGUGCGAAUGGAGAAUUUGUGGGAUUUUUUAUUUCAGCUCAUGAAACAUGGGACCAACACUUGAACAUGUUGCGUUUAUAUUUUUGUUUCGUGUAGAUUGUCCCUUUACUUUCCCUUGCGGAACAAUCAAGGUAUUUUUUGUUUACCGUAAGGUGUCCAAACUCCUAAAAGGGUGGCUGCUGCUGUAUUCCGUUUGAUGGUUGUGUGUGUGUGUGUGUGUGUGUGUAUUUAGUGUUGAAUGGGAAUAUAGUGGAUUAGAGAAUGGAUGUCUUUUAUUGUUACUUACCAAUGUGAUUAAUAAUAAAUACAUACAGAAAUGUGAAUAUUCAGUAUUUUCAUUUGCA